This 497-nucleotide ribosomal RNA is filed under the name uncultured bacterium. Its description in RNAcentral is "partial 16S ribosomal RNA". It matches the Rfam family "Bacterial small subunit ribosomal RNA", at positions 28 to 507 of the family's 1533-position model. The record is from RNAcentral.
GAUGAACGCUGGCGGCGUGCCUAAUACAUGCAAGUCGAGCGAACGGACGAGAAGCUUGCUUCUCUGAUGUUAGCGGCGGACGGGUGAGUAACACGUGGAUAACCUACCUAUAAGACUGGGAUAACUUCGGGAAACCGGAGCUAAUACCGGAUAAUAUUUUGAACCGCAUGGUUCAAAAGUGAAAGACGGUCUUGCUGUCACUUAUAGAUGGAUCCGCGCUGCAUUAGCUAGUUGGUAAGGUAACGGCUUACCAAGGCAACGAUGCAUAGCCGACCUGAGAGGGUGAUCGGCCACACUGGAACUGCGACACGGUCCAGACUCCUACGGGAGGCAGCAGUAGGGAAUCUUCCGCAAUGGGCGAAAGCCUGACGGAGCAACGCCGCGUGAGUGAUGAAGGCCUUCGGAUCGUAAAACUCUGUUAUUAGGGAAGAACAUAUGUGUAAGUAACUGUGCACAUCUUGACGGUACCUAAUCAGAAAGCCACGGCUAACUACGUG